This 407-nucleotide ribosomal RNA is filed under the name Eucalliaxiopsis jonesi. RNAcentral describes it as "partial small subunit ribosomal RNA". Lineage: Eukaryota; Metazoa; Arthropoda; Malacostraca; Decapoda; Eucalliacidae. The record is from RNAcentral.
AUUUUUAGUCUAAAAAAAUAAAACUAAAUUAUUAAAAGUUAUCUUCUUCAAAUUUAAAGGAUUUGGCGGUAAUUUAGUCCAGUUAGAGGAACCUGUUUUAUAAACGAUACACCACGAAAAAUCUUACCUGUCUUCAAAGUUUGUAUACCGUCAUUAUUAGAUAACUCCCAUAGGAAAUAAGUUAUUUUAAAAGUCUUUUUCACUAAUAUAUUAGAUCAAGGUGCAGCCAAUAGACAGGCCUUUAUGGGUUACAAUAAACUUUAUUUAUUAACGGAAUUUGAAUUUAAAUAUUCUUAUAAAGGAGGAUUUAAUAGUAAAAUUAGUUUAACAAGCUAUUUUGAUAAUGGAUCUAAAUUGAGUACAUAUCGCCCGUCGCUUUCAAUAAAAUGAAAUAAGUCGUAACAUAG